AAGAAGAGUUCCGUUUUGUGGGAACUGAGGUAAAUACCUCGUCUGGUGUAGUGUCAACAACCCAGGUUGAAAGGAUGCCGAGAAAGGAAUUAGAUCAAAGAUUUCUAGUGGCGAUGACCGAUAUUAAACAAGAUAAGUUGUCAAUUGAGGAUGUUCCAAUAGUUCGACAUUAUAAAGACGUUUUUCCAGAAGACCUUCUAGGUGUACCAC
RNAcentral lists this long non-coding RNA (210 nucleotides) under Olea europaea (common olive). Its description in RNAcentral is "long non-coding RNA (OEUR_LNC011828)". Lineage: Eukaryota; Viridiplantae; Streptophyta; Magnoliopsida; Lamiales; Oleaceae. The record is from RNAcentral.